AUGAAUCCAGAUCCAAUGGAAGUGCAAGAACCACCACCCCAUAGGAACGAGAAAACCAUCUUUGAGAUGUGCAGAGAAGCCAGAAACUUUCGUACUAAUGCUAGGAGGUGUGGCACUCUUCUUCAGCCCUACGAAUUUAGCUGUCCACAAACUGCAGAACUUGGAUUUAAAAAUGGUUAUAUCUAUUAUUCAAGCAAGGCAAUAAAGUUUGCUGCGGAUAUAGAACAAGGAUUUGACUCAGAGGAACUGCAGAAACGAGCUGCCACCUUCUGGGUUCUGAAUGAAGUGCCUUUUGGUCAGCUAAACCCAUUGGGGCUAAAUCCAUCCGUUGAUGUAGGGAUUGUUAAGACCUACGGCGUGGCCUAUAAUACCCUUAUUGGAAAAACAAUUAUUGCCUUGGCUCGCUCUCAACAAAGUGUGCUCUCCUGGAUAGCAAAUCCAAAUAACAGUAUAUUCGUUCGUGAUCAGUUAAGAAACAGUAUUAGGUCUUUGUAUGUGGCACUGGAGAGGUUAUGGGACAAACAGUGGACAGUAGAUAAUGUGGAAGAUAUUGGAACUUACACUAUUAAUGAGAAUAUGAUCCAAAUUAUGCCAUUCCGAGUUCGUGGAAGGACUCUUGAUGAUGAGAUGACACCUAGGCAGGGUUUGCAACUACUGAUACAGACCAAUAUUUUGCAACAUUGGCCAGAUGAUAUUGAACUGGCGCACUUCAGUGCAUUCCUCAUUAACCCAAAUAUAAACAUAAGGAAACAAGAUGUCCUCGAUCAUCCAUUCCUAGUCACAGUCCCCCACGUUAGGGAGAGCAAGUAUAAAAGAUUAUAUGAAAAAGGAAUUUUUUUUACCGAUGACCAAAUAGAUUGGUUGGAUAAACAUAUCUUCUUACAGGGGUGGCAACUCAAUGUUCAAGACCCGUCUCUUACAGCGAUUCUGGACCAUCAAAUUGAAGUUACCGGGGGGGUGGGGUUUGCUCAAACAGUUUUUGGAGCCUUGCACUUUGCCAAAGUAGUCAUAGCUCAUUAUCACCAGUAUGAUGUUAAUAGGCGGCCUCUUCUUGAUGAUGAUCUCAGGCAUCUUCUGCAAGGACUUCUUACUGGAGUAUAUGGUGCUAGGUUUAAUGAGGAAUUUAUUGCUUUGGCCUGA
RNAcentral lists this ribosomal RNA (1140 nucleotides) under Triticum aestivum (bread wheat). Its description in RNAcentral is "partial small subunit ribosomal RNA". Lineage: Eukaryota; Viridiplantae; Streptophyta; Magnoliopsida; Poales; Poaceae. The record is from RNAcentral.